CCAUGUGAUCCUUCAAGCUUGC
Molecule: non-coding RNA, 22 nt
Filed under: Arabidopsis thaliana (thale cress)
Lineage: Eukaryota; Viridiplantae; Streptophyta; Magnoliopsida; Brassicales; Brassicaceae
Source: RNAcentral